AAAACGACUCUCGGCAACGGAUAUCUAGGCUCUCGCAUCGAUGAAGAACGUAGCAAAAUGCGAUACUUGGUGUGAAUUGCAGAAUCCCGCGAAUCAUCGAGUUUUUGAACGCAAGUUGCGCCCGAAGCCAUUCGGCCAAGGGCACGUCUGCCUGGGUGUCACGC
RNAcentral lists this ribosomal RNA (164 nucleotides) under Quercus macranthera. RNAcentral's name for it is "5.8S ribosomal RNA". It matches the Rfam family "5.8S ribosomal RNA". From Rfam's summary of the family: 5.8S ribosomal RNA (5.8S rRNA) is a component of the large subunit of the eukaryotic ribosome. Lineage: Eukaryota; Viridiplantae; Streptophyta; Magnoliopsida; Fagales; Fagaceae. The record is from RNAcentral.